RNAcentral lists this microRNA precursor (164 nucleotides) under Oryza brachyantha (malo sina). RNAcentral describes it as "MIR812 microRNA precursor family". It matches the Rfam family "MIR812 microRNA precursor family", at positions 27 to 191 of the family's 205-position model. The record is from Rfam by way of RNAcentral. Lineage: Eukaryota; Viridiplantae; Streptophyta; Magnoliopsida; Poales; Poaceae.
UAUAAUAUUUGAUUCUUCGUUUUAUUAAAAAAAACUUUAUGCUUAACAUUUUUACUUUUAUUAGAUGAUAAAUUAUAAAUAGUACUUUACGUGUGACUAUUUUUUUUAAAUUUUUUAAAAAAAUUAAAUAAGACGAAUGAUUAAACGCUGGACAUGGAAAUCGA